Molecule: ribosomal RNA, 969 nt
Filed under: uncultured bacterium
Lineage: Bacteria
Description: bacterial SSU rRNA
Rfam family: Bacterial small subunit ribosomal RNA
Source: RNAcentral
CGCACGUUUUCCGGAUUAUUGGGCGUAAGAGCUCGUAGGCGGUUUGUCGCGUCUGCCGUGAAAGUCCGGGGCUCAACUCCGGAUCUGCGGUGGGUACGGGCAGACUAGAGUGAUGUAGGGGAGACUGGAAUUCCUGGUGUAGCGGUGAAAUGCGCAGAUAUCAGGAGGAACACCGAUGGCGAAGGCAGGUCUCUGGGCAUUAACUGACGCUGAGGAGCGAAAGCAUGGGGAGCGAACAGGAUUAGAUACCCUGGUAGUCCAUGCCGUAAACGUUGGGCACUAGGUGUGGGGGACAUUCCACGUUUUCCGCGCCGUAGCUAACGCAUUAAGUGCCCCGCCUGGGGAGUACGGCCGCAAGGCUAAAACUCAAAGGAAUUGACGGGGGCCCGCACAAGCGGCGGAGCAUGCGGAUUAAUUCGAUGCAACGCGAAGAACCUUACCAAGGCUUGACAUGGGCCGGACCGGGCUGGAAACAGUCCUUCCCCUUUGGGGCCGGUUCACAGGUGGUGCAUGGUUGUCGUCAGCUCGUGUCGUGAGAUGUUGGGUUAAGUCCCGCAACGAGCGCAACCCUCGUUCCAUGUUGCCAGCGCGUAAUGGCGGGGACUCAUGGGAGACUGCCGGGGUCAACUCGGAGGAAGGUGGGGACGACGUCAAAUCAUCAUGCCCCUUAUGUCUUGGGCUUCACGCAUGCUACAAUGGCCGGUACAAAGGGUUGCGAUACUGUGAGGUGGAGCUAAUCCCAAAAAGCCGGUCUCAGUUCGGAUUGGGGUCUGCAACUCGACCCCAUGAAGUCGGAGUCGCUAGUAAUCGCAGAUCAGCAACGCUGCGGUGAAUACGUUCCCGGGCCUUGUACACACCGCCCGUCAAGUCACGAAAGUUGGUAACACCCGAAGCCGGUGGCCUAACCCCUUGUGGGAGGGAGCUGUCGAAGUGGGACUGGCGAUUGGGACUAAGUCGUAACAAGGUAAC